GACGAACGCUGGCGGCGUGCUUAACACAUGCAAGUCGAACGAUGAACCCGGAGCUUGCUCCGGCGGAUUAGUGGCGAACGGGUGAGUAACACGUGAGUAACCUGCCCUUGACUCUGGAAUAACUGCUAGAAAUGGUAGCUAAUACCGGAUACGACCCUCGGUGGCAUCACCAGGGGGUGGAAAGAAUUUCGGUCAAGGAUGGACUCGCGGCCUAUCAGCUAGGUGGUGAGGUAACGGCUCACCAAGGCGACGACGGGUAGCCGGCCUGAGAGGGUGACCGGCCACACUGGGACUGAGACACGGCCCAGACUCCUACGGGAGGCAGCAGUGGGGAAUAUUGCACAAUGGGCGCAAGCCUGAUGCAGCAACGCCGCGUGAGGGAUGACGGCCUUCGGGUUGUAAACCUCUUUUAGUAGGGAAGAAGCGAAAGUGACGGUACCUGCAGAAAAAGCACCGGCUAACUACGUGCCAGCCGCCGCCGUAA
This 484-nucleotide ribosomal RNA is filed under the name uncultured bacterium. Its description in RNAcentral is "partial 16S ribosomal RNA". It matches the Rfam family "Bacterial small subunit ribosomal RNA", at positions 28 to 523 of the family's 1533-position model. The record is from RNAcentral.